GGUUGUGGCUCAGUGGUAGAACUUGCCUAGCAUGUGCGAGGCCCUGGGUUCGAUCCUCAGCACCA
Molecule: transfer RNA, 65 nt
Filed under: Marmota monax (woodchuck)
Lineage: Eukaryota; Metazoa; Chordata; Mammalia; Rodentia; Sciuridae
Description: tRNA.Cys
Source: RNAcentral